Molecule: long non-coding RNA, 199 nt
Filed under: Trifolium pratense (red clover)
Lineage: Eukaryota; Viridiplantae; Streptophyta; Magnoliopsida; Fabales; Fabaceae
Description: long non-coding RNA (TPRA_LNC007791)
Source: RNAcentral
CGAGGAUUAGGCACUCCGGGACCCGCUUGCCUCGAAGUGACCCUAUGCGGAUAAAAUUGACAAGAUAAUAAUAAGCGGUACACCUUUACUGCUUUAUAUUAUUAUGUUAUGAAAACUUCUGAAUUAUGUCAGGAUUAGAACUAUUAGAAGUUCAGGAUCAGGUUAUGUUAGAAACUAUUAGUUUCAGUUGCCCCGGUGU